This 5298-nucleotide long non-coding RNA is filed under the name Podarcis muralis (Common wall lizard). Its description in RNAcentral is "lncRNA (ENSPMRG00000009474.1)". The record is from RNAcentral. Lineage: Eukaryota; Metazoa; Chordata; Lepidosauria; Squamata; Lacertidae.
AUGCUUAAUAAUAAUAAUAAUAAUAAUAAUAAUAAUAAUAGCCUGCUCCUGAGCAAUACAAAAGCUGGGUCCUGUGGCUUGCGUAAAUUAUGCAAACUGAGCAAUGCUACAUCAUUUUUUAAAAAAACUUUGCAUUCAGGUUUCUCAAGUCACAGGGAAGGGCUGUGGUGGGCCCUGAAUCCCUGUCCGCUGACGAUUUUUAAACCGUCUUCUGAAAUUUCAGUUAACACACACACAAAUCUCCAAUGCCCCUCUCUGCUUCCAUGGGCUGCCCCGUGCAGUUCUCCUCAUCUACCGAAACAAAGGUGGUCACUGUGGACUGGACACCUGUACAAAGCAAUGCCUGCAAAGAAGCUUUUGGGAAGAGUGGAUGAAUCCAGGCAUCAAAGCUUUGGGGCCUAUAGCAGAGUAUUUGACUGGGGCAUUUUAUUGCAAUCUGUUCUUCGAUUGGUUUACUCAAGUGUUUCCCACCACUUCCUUCUCUCUCAAACUUGAUUACUGUGCACUUUGUGAUUGGCAGCUGAAGGUGUGAACUGACACCACUGGAAGACCUGUGUGUUGGAAGUGCAAGCCUGUGGUUUUGCAUCUGUGGUGGUCCAUUCAGACAUACCUGUGAUGGUCCAUUCAUCACUUGGGAAUCAGCCCGUACUCAGGAGCUCAACCCACUUUUAAUAUUGAUUCCUAUGGGCUUUGGCAGCUCAGCUAUGCUGGACUGUGGCCUGUCAGAUUUUGCAUUGUCUCCAGCGAUACCCUUGAUCAGAAUGAACCUCCUGGGGAAGCGGGUGCAUCAGAAUAUUCACCCUGCACAUUGUGAGGAAUGAAUUACAGGAUAAUAUUCUGCAUGAAUGAGAGACCCUCCCCUCCAAUUCUGAUAAAUGGAACAAAUCAGUUGCAAUUCAUGCAAAUAUCUUCUGCACAAAACCCUGCUCAGUUAUAUGCCAGUUUUAUUCUGGACCAGAAUAAUGUUGGAGAUGCGUAUUGGGAAUGUCUGUGUGGCAAUUUCCUGCUUUAGUACUAGCAGAUAUGAUGGGCAAGUUCAGGUAUUACCCUCUAAAUGUGGGAAGACAUUUAAAGCACACCAUUCUCCCUGUGCCGGCAUCUUCUAGGGCAGAGGUGGUGGACCUGUGGCCCUCCAGAUCUUGCUGGACAUCAUCCCUGACCAUGUUUUCCUUGGGCUGUUCAAGUCCAACAACUGGUAAGCCACUGGUUCUUCAUCCCUGAUCUAGGAGGACUUGAUGUGAAGCUGGAGGGAUUCCUUCUGGGUCACACCAUUCCCCAGUCUCCCCAAAAGAAGAGAGUACUUGCACCCUGCUAGGUGCAUCUACCUUCUCCUUACCAGAGAGAGAGCAUCUGUGUCUACUAUUUUCACAGACCUCUCUGGCAGCAGCUGUUUUUGCCUGCAGUUGGAGUGGAAAGAGAGGCAGUAAAGCCCACAGUUGCUUCCACCUGCAUGGCAGGCAUGUGGAUAGCUUUGGGGGAAUUGAAACACAAGGUGCAUGGGUAGAUGAUGAAGCUCAGCAAUGCAACAGAUGCAUAACUGAGCUUCAAACCUAUCUCCAAAGUUCCAGAAGCUGCUAUAGUCCAGAACCUCUUGUGUGCUGUGAUGCCAUCUCAGAGAGAGAGCGCCUUUGAAAGCAAGAUUUCCUUUUCACUUCAGUGGAGGGGCAACCAUCCCUUUAUGUGUGUGUGGUGCUGAAAUCCUUUUGUAGAGCAGAUCUCUCACCAGGGCACCAACCAGAGCUCGUUGCACCAAAGUGAGCAGCUGUCCAUGUCGCAUGACUUCAAAUGUAUCUCCAUAAUCAUAGGGUCUAGAAGGAUGCAUUAUUUAUCAAAACAAAAAACAAAGAGAAAUAAAACAAAGGAAAGCGGAAGGUUGUCAGAAUCUAGGUUCCAGACGCUGUAGAAAAUUCUACACGUACUUGAUCACAGGGAACAAUUAGUUAAGGGCAGGGCAGCCCACAAUGGGGUAUUCGCCCCCUCGAAGCAGGCAGCUGCAAUUAUGGGAUGCCAGGGGGCCUGCAUUGCAGUGAAAUGUCAAGAAGCUGCGAGAGCAUUAUGGUCUGUAAAUGUCCCUUCCACCAGAAAAUGAGCCCAGCCACGAGCCAGCUAACAUAUAACCCAAAUGAGAUCAUCCAGGGGCAAUCAGCCUUAACUUGUUAACAACAGCAACACAAUCAGCGUCCAUUGUUCCCUUUAACAAUCAAGAAGUCUAAUAAGGUGCAAAGUCACAUGGAAAAGGCUUUUGGAAGCAGCCCAGUCUGGGGGUCCCGUGAGUCAAACAGAAUGGCACUAAAUGUACAUAGGUGGGCUUGAACUAAGUGUUGUAGUUCAAAACGUUUGAAGGGCACCAGGUUGGGGGAAGGCUGGGUUAAAUUUUGGAACACCUGCUAGCAUCUUUUCACACAUUACGUUUCUUCGGUGUACCCUGAAGAUGUCUUAAGGACAUACGCUUACAAACACGGGCAUUUUCGAAGUACAUUUGUCAGAAAGCCAUGACCGGCCACGGUUAUGUCACCUGCUGAAUGUACACCUGGCGACAAACCCAGGUUUGCUGUCCUGUCAUGUGUGAAUCAGCCUUUUCCUUCCCCGUGUUUUACUGAUGUGCAUUUUUUAAAAACCCUGCAUGUUGCCAAUAAUUUAAGAAAAAGAAAAUCAACUAAUACUGCUUAAUAAAUACAUAAAAGUAUCUUUUCCGGUCUUUUAAAACAAGAAUCUAGAGCGUCCACAAGAGUUAAGGAUGAUUGUCCCUAGAUUAUCUAAGGCAAAUCUGUUUGACAUGGUAUCCCACCCCCAUUCUUCUUUUUACAUAAAGCAGUCACAUAAAAAUAGUUAUAAAUAGAAAAUUUCCAAAGGAUCUUCCACCCUCCUGACAAUACCCCGUCCCAACAAACAGGAAACAUAACAAAAGCAUGUCCCUUUUGCUUCAAGUUCUUGUAGAUUAUACAGUACUCAGAAUCUUUGGAUAUUUUACAAGGACUCCAAAUCGUAGGACACUCACCCCCCACCCCACCCCCGCAAGCCCUCCCCACACUCAAAUAACCCCUCAAAACCUGAAGGAAGCCAUAAUCUGCAAAACAGUAGCUCAGAAAGACGUCUGUACAUUUAGAAACAAAAAUAGUCUGACGCGGUUCUCGAAAGGUUCUGUUCUCCUUCCCCACAUUGGUGCAAAUAAGAGAAGUCUUUUGGUGGGUUUUAAACAAACGCAGGCAGGUUUUUUUGGGGGGGGUGUGAUUUAAUUUUCAACAGUCUUCCAGUAAGAAAAAAAAGUCUUUGAUCCUUGAAAGGUCCCUUCACCAGAGGGAGCCAAGCAGUGCUGAAGGGGGCCUACGGAGAGAAAAAGAAAAGAAAUUUCAGGUACUGGGAAAUUUGCUUUCAGUAGUCCAUUCUUUAAAGUCAUGGUCCUAUGGUUUUUCUUUCAUUAUUCUUGGAAGGAAGGUUGCACAUAAAAAUGGGGGGGGGGUCACCUUGCCAUGCUCUCUGGUAACCUCCCAGCUAGACUACUGUAAUGCACAGUUUGUGGAGCUGCCCUUACAGACAACCUGGAGGCUUCAAUGAGUGCAGAAACUGCCUGCUGGAAUUUCAACUGAUACAUAUUACACCUAUUCUGAAAGAAUUAACAUUGGCCGCCUGUGUGCUUCCAAGCCCAAUGCGAGGUGCUGGUGCUUUAAAGCCCUAAACAGCUCAGGACCCCAAUGUUUCUUCCCAUAAUAGACUGGCUGUGCCCUAAGAUCUAGCACUCCUCUCCUCUGUUGCGUUGGAGAGACAGUUAUCUAACGCUGCUCCUUCUUCAGUGUUCAUGGAGAUGCAGCCAUUGCAGUCAAGUCACUCACACACAAAACAAAAUGGUGAAUGUAAUAAGAUCCAGUGGUACCUUGGUUCUCAAAUGCCUUGGUUCCCAAACGCCAAAAACCCAAAUGUAAGUGUUCCGGUUUUUGAACAUUUUUCGGAAGCCGGACAUCUGAUGUGGUUGUUGGCUAUUGCUUCCGGGGCGCCUGCACCAAUCAGAAGCUUCACCUUGGUUUAUGAACAUUUCAGAAGUCAAACGGACUUCUGAAAUGGAUUAAGUCUGGCACUUUUGUUUUUGCUAUUUAUUCUGUGUUUUUGUUUUUGAGGGUUUUUCGGUUAAUUUGUUUUUGUGACUGUGUGGAACCUAGUUCAGCUUCUCAUUGACUGAUUGUGUGACUAUGGAAUGGAUAAAAGCCCCAUAUCUUAAGAAUUACUAUCAUCAGUGCAGGUAAGAAAGAAAUAAUAAUUUUAAUUUUUAUCAUCUACAAUACUGUCUUACUUAUUUUGUAGUACUGUACAUUGAUUAUUAAGGGAUGCGGGUGGCGCUGUGGGUUAAACCACAGAGCCUAGGACUUGCCGAUCAGAAGGUUGGCGGUUCAAAUCCCCGUGACGGGGUGAGCUCCCCAUGACUGUCUGUGGACAAAAGCCAGCUCCCUCGGCCUAUAGAGCGAGGUGAGCACCACAACCCCAGAGUCGCCCACGACUGGACCUAAUGGUCAGGGGUACCUUUACCUUUUAACAACCAACCCCUAGCCCCUAUCCUGGACUGGUUGGAUGCAGAGGAAUGGGGGGGGGUACCAGCUGGGCAACCCCCAAGGGAAGAAGGCUCAGAGCCUGAGGUCUGGCGGUGGGUUGAUGAUGAGUAGUCAGAGGGAGAAGGGAUGUGGGUGGCGCUGUGGGUUAAACCACAGAGCCUAGGACCUGCCGAUCAGAAGGUCAGCGGUUCAAAUCCCCGUGACGGGGUGAGCUCCCGUUGCUCGGUCCCUGCUCCUGCCAACCUGGCAGUUCGAAAGCACGUCAAAGUGCAAGUAGAUAAAUAGGCACCGCUCUGGCAGGAAGGUAAACGGCGUUUCCGUGCAUUGCUCUGGUUCGCCAGAAGCGGCUUAGUCAUGCUGGCCACAUGACCCGGAAGCUGUAUGCUGGCUCCCUCAGCCAGUAAAGUGAGAUGAGCACUGCAACCCCAGAGUCAGCCACGACUGGACCUAAUGGUCAGGGGCCCCUUUACCUUUGCUUUCAUUUUAUGGAUCAGUGGUCUCAUUAGAUAGUAAAAAUCAUGUUAAAUUGCUGUUUUAGGGGUUGUUUGUAAAAGUCUGGAAUGGAUUAAUCCGUUUUGCAUUACUUUCUAUGGGAAAGUGCACCUUGGUUUUGGAACGCUUUGGUUUUGGAAUGGACUUCCGGAACGGAUUAAGUUUGAGAACCAAGGUACCACUGUACUUCCCAUGUGUACUGUAUGGGAGAGAAAGAAGUAAAGAGUCAGUAUUGCACAUGAUUUGACUUCUGAAAUUUAGCUCC